GCUCCGAUAGUGUAGUCCGGUCAAAGAUGUCUUACAAACGACUCGACAAAGCAUUCGGGCCUUUCGAGUCCGCUACCCGGGUUCAAAUCCCGGUCGGAGCA
This 101-nucleotide transfer RNA is filed under the name Candidatus Heimdallarchaeota archaeon LC_3. Its description in RNAcentral is "tRNA-Val". It matches the Rfam family "tRNA". From Rfam's summary of the family: Transfer RNA (tRNA) molecules are approximately 80 nucleotides in length. The record is from RNAcentral. Lineage: Archaea; Promethearchaeati; Candidatus Heimdallarchaeota.